ACACCCAGCUCCCCUGGCUUUAGCAGCACAGAAAUAUUGGCACUGGGAAGCAAGUCUGCCAAUAUUGGUUGUGCUGCUCCAGGCAGGGUGGUGA
Cavia aperea (Brazilian guinea pig) is the source of this 94-nucleotide microRNA precursor. Ensembl annotates it as microRNA 195. Lineage: Eukaryota; Metazoa; Chordata; Mammalia; Rodentia; Caviidae. The record is from Ensembl.